This 255-nucleotide ribosomal RNA is filed under the name uncultured bacterium. RNAcentral describes it as "partial small subunit ribosomal RNA". It matches the Rfam family "Bacterial small subunit ribosomal RNA", at positions 26 to 285 of the family's 1533-position model. The record is from RNAcentral.
AGGACGAACGCUGGCGGCGUGCUUAACACAUGCAAGUCGAGCGGAAAGGCCCUUCGGGGUACUCGAGCGGCGAACGGGUGAGUAACACGUGAGCAACCUGCCCCUGGCUCUGGGAUAGCCUUCGGAAACGGGGAUUAAUACCGGAUAUUCACUGCUUCCUGCAUGGGGGGUGGUGGAAAGUUUUUCGGCUAGGGAUGAGCUCGCGGCCUAUCAGCUUGUUGGUGGGGUAACGGCCUACCAAGGCGACGACGGGUA